GAUGAACGCUGGCGGCGUGCCUAAUACAUGCAAGUCGAGCGAACAGACGAGGAGCUUGCUCCUCUGACGUUAGCGGCGGACGGGUGAGUAACACGUGGAUAACCUACCUAUAAGACUGGGAUAACUUCGGGAAACCGGAGCUAAUACCGGAUAAUAUAUUUAACCGCAUGGUUCAUUAGUGAAAGUCGGUUUUUCUGUCACUUAUAGAUGGAUCCGCGCCGCAUUAGCUAGUUGGUAAGGUAACGGCUUACCAAGGCGACGAUGAGUAGCCGAACUGAGAGGGUGAUAGGCCACACUGGAACUGAGACACGGUACAGACACCUACGGGAGGAAGAAGAAGGGAAUCUUACGCAAUGGGCGAAAGCCUGACGGAGCAAAGCCGAGUGAGUGAUGAAGGUCUUCGGAUCGUAAAACUAUGUUAUUAGGGAAGAACAAAUGUGUAAGUAAAUAUGCACGUCUUGACGGUAACUAAUCAGAAAGCAACGGCUAACUACGUG
This 497-nucleotide ribosomal RNA is filed under the name uncultured bacterium. Its description in RNAcentral is "partial 16S ribosomal RNA". It matches the Rfam family "Bacterial small subunit ribosomal RNA", at positions 28 to 507 of the family's 1533-position model. The record is from RNAcentral.